GGUAAGUUACCCAAGUUGGUGAAGGGGACAGUUUGCUAAACUGUUAGGUUCAUAAUUGUGGACGCAAGGGUUCGAGUCCCUUACUUACCG
RNAcentral lists this transfer RNA (90 nucleotides) under Ligilactobacillus salivarius. Its description in RNAcentral is "Lactobacillus salivarius tRNA-Ser". It matches the Rfam family "tRNA". Rfam says of the family: Transfer RNA (tRNA) molecules are approximately 80 nucleotides in length. Their secondary structure includes four short double-helical elements and three loops (D, anti-codon, and T loops). The record is from RNAcentral. Lineage: Bacteria; Bacillati; Bacillota; Bacilli; Lactobacillales; Lactobacillaceae.